CUGCCCGUAGCUCAAUUGGAUAGAGCACCGGCCUUCUAAGCCGGGGGUUGCAGGUUCGAUCCCUGCCGGGCAGGCCA
This 77-nucleotide transfer RNA is filed under the name Hydrogenophilus thermoluteolus. Its description in RNAcentral is "tRNA-Arg". It matches the Rfam family "tRNA". From Rfam's summary of the family: Transfer RNA (tRNA) molecules are approximately 80 nucleotides in length. Lineage: Bacteria; Pseudomonadati; Pseudomonadota; Hydrogenophilia; Hydrogenophilales; Hydrogenophilaceae. The record is from RNAcentral. RNAcentral also lists the same sequence under 41 other names.